Molecule: RNA transcript, 6951 nt
Organism: Chelonia mydas (Green sea turtle)
Lineage: Eukaryota; Metazoa; Chordata; Testudines; Cheloniidae
Gene: TSC22D1
Gene name: TSC22 domain family member 1
Exons: 7
Source: RefSeq, a predicted model, not a curated record
CCUUCUUCUCCCUCCCUGUCCGGCCAAUCCCUCCCCUUGCCCAGCUCCGGCGCCGUGCUCCAAUGCCGUGUGAGGAGGCCUGGGGGGCGGGGGAGGACGAGUCGCGGUAGCGGGGGAGCCGGGGGGCAGACAGACCCAGCAGAGGGAGGAGGAGGACGACUCAUCCCCAGCCUGGUUCUGCAGAGGAGCUCGGCGUGAGCCCGAGGGAGCCGGGGCAGAGCGGCUGAAGCGAACGCCCGGCCGCAGCGAGAGGGAGCGGCGGAGGGGGAGAGGCUGGGCCGGCUCCCCUCCCUGCGCCGGGCUCUCCUGGGGGAGGAGGGCGGCUGGCUGCUUGUUCCGGCCUCCUCCUCUCUCUCUAACCACCCCAAAAUGAUUCAGCUCCAUGGCUGCCACUGACGGGAAUGUCCCUGCCCGGCUCAGGCUGCCGCCGCCGCCUUGCUGCGUGCCAGCCUUGUACGUAUCCGCCUGCGCCUUGCUGCUGCUAGGCGCCCCAGCCCGCCGCUCCGCGGAGCCCCCGAGACCCCCGCGCCUCUCCUCCGCACCCGGCCGCCAGAGGCGGCGGCGGCGGCCGCUCCCCCGGGGCCCCGCGGCGGGGAGGUCUGCUCUGCCCUGCCCACAGUCACCCCGCUGUAGCUACACACAGCUCGGCUGGGAGCCGGGCAAGGGGGGCGGGCGGUUGCUUUCUGAGUUGGCCGGAUAACGUGGGUAUUUGCUCCCCCCCCCCGGAGAAGAGGGCUCGGGGGGAGUGGAGAUCGGAGGGGAAAGUGAACGGCGAAGGACUGAAAGUGUCACAUUCACUGGCUCUGAUCUGAAGGCGGCGGAGGGACCCGGCCUCGCCCCCCCCCCCAGCCCCCGAGAGGAGGAGGAGGAGGAAAAGGGGCGGUUUAGUGACAGUGCCGGCUGUGCUGAGGCGUCUCAGCCUGUGCUGUGUGCGCCAGCGGGGAGAGGGGGUUGUGUGUGUGUGUGGUGCCUCUCCCCUGGGUUGCAUGCAAAGCUAACUGUGUGGCUGUCUCUCUCCGGGCCGGGGAAUUGCACUCUUAAAAUAAACCCGGUACAAUGCACCAGCCUGACUCAGCCGCAGACAUUAGUGCUAGGAAGAUGGCGCACCCGGCAAUGUUUCCUAGAAGGGGCAGCGGCGGCAGCUGCGUUACUGCGCUCAAUGCACCAGGUACCGGCGCUGGUAGCGGUGCCCUCUCCACCGAGGAUUAUCCGCCGCCUCUGCUCAUCCAGCCGCCGCCUCCAUCUCUUGCAGCAUCUUCAUCGGCGGGUCCACAGCCUCCACCCCCUCCUCCACAAAGCCUGAACCUCCUCGCCCAGUCUCAACUCCAGCCACAGCCUCUUGCACAGGCUGGAGCCCAAAUGAAAAAGAAAAGUGGCUUCCAAAUUACCAGCGUGACCCCAGCUCAGAUCUCCGCCAGUAUGAGCUCUAACAACAGCAUAGCGGAGGACACAGAAAGCUACGACGACCUGGAUGAGUCCCACACUGAAGACCUGUCGUCUUCAGAAAUUUUGGAUGUUUCUUUAUCCAGGGCCACUGACUUGGGUGAACCUGAACGGAGCUCCUCCGAAGAGACUUUAAAUAACUUCCAAGAGGCUGAGACUCCUGGGGCUAUCUCUCCAAACCAGCCUCACCUUCCUCAGCAGCAUACCCCUUUGCCUCAUCACCCACAGCAGAGUGUUGUGAUCAAUGGAAAUGUUCACCCCCAUCAUGCUCACCAUCACCACCACCUUCAUCAUCACCAUCAUGGGCAUCAUCAUCCAUCGCAUCCUGGGGUGGGCAGUACACCAGCUUCUGGAGGACCACCCCCAAGUCCAUCAUUUAGAAAGCUGUCCACAGCUGGAAGCUCUGACAAUGUUAUCACAACUGCACCAGUUUCUGCUGCAUCAUCCACUGGUACACCUGCAUCUGCCCUGUCUAAUAUUCGCACUAUGAGUACUCCUGGCAGUGUAGGUGUAAGUCCUGUUACUGGAACUAGUACGUUAAGUAAUGUGGGCGGUGGUAGUCCUAGUAUGACAAGCAGCAUGCUUGGUAACGUUAAUAUAAACUUAAGCAACAUCACAAGUGCUGCUAAUGUACAUGCUUUGUCUGGAGCGAGCAGCAAUGUUAAUGUGAAUAUCUUGAGUGGUGUCGGCAAUGGUACGAGUGCUUCCUCUAAUAUCAUUAAUAAUGUUACUAAUCCAACUGCAGGAAUGGCAGUAGGAUCAAGUCAGCAGCAGCCUGCAGCUGGCACAUCAAGGUUUAGAGUCGUAAAAUUAGAUUCUAGUUCUGAACCUUUUAAAAAAGGUAGAUGGAUAUGCACUGAAUUCUAUGAUAAAGAAAACACUGUAGCAGUUACAGAAGGAGUAGCAGUAAACAAAGUGGUAGAGACUAUAAAACAAAAUCCAUUUGAAGUGACUUCUGAAAGGGAGAGCACCAGUGGGAGUUCUGUUAGCAGCAAUGUAAGCACACUGAGUCACUACACAGAAAGUGUGGGAAGCGGGGAAAUGGGAGCACCUACUGUGAUACAACAGCAGACAUUUCAAGGUGUGGGUCCACAACAGAUGGAUUUUAGUAGUACUGGACCUCAGACUAUUCCAGCAUCCAGUAUACCACAGAGUAUUUCUCAGUCACAGCUUUCACAAGUACAGUUGCCUUCUCAAGAAGUAAACUAUCCACAGCAAAAGCAAGGAGUCCAGCCUUCAGCGCAGGCUAGUCUAACAACUGUUACUGGUGUUCAGCCAACUCCAGUUAAUGUGGUAGGUGUGUCAUCUUUAGGUCACCAACAACCUGCCAUUCCAAGUGUGGCUCAACAGCAGCUACCAUAUUCUCAACCCUCACAGCCUGUGCAGACUUUGCCUGUUGUACCACAACAGCAGUUACAGUAUGGACAACAACAGACACUUCCUACGCAGAUGGCCGCAGCACGAGUUAAACCGGUGAAUCAGAGUUGCGUGACCGGGACCAUACCGGACUACAUACAACAUCAGCAGAUACUUCAGCCUCCAGUGCCUGCUGUGCAAUCCAGCUCUACAGGAGUAGGAGCAGGAACACCUGUUCCUGUUGCUCAGGCACCAAGCAUCCAACCUUCUGUACAAGUACACCCUGCUGUGGCACCAGCUCAGCCUGUUGCACAUGCUCAGACAGCAAUGCCAUCUGUAGGUACUAGUGGUCAAAUUGUUAACAUUGGACAACAAGGAAGUGUACCUGCUGUGGUGCAGCAGCCACCUGUUGCAAACCAAAUUACACCUUCAGUUAUGCAGCAAAGUGCUGCUCCUCCGUCUUCACAAGUGGUGCAGCCUGUUCAGACUGGGAUAAUUCAGCAGGGGCUACAAGCUGGUGCUUCAAGCCUUCCUCCGCAAAUGGUCAUUGCUUCACAAAAUGCUUUAUCUGUACAACCCCAGGCACAAGUGGAAACUGUAGUUCAAGGAAUGACCAGCCAACCAUUGCCUGCAGUUAGCCCUAUACCUUCUACUAGUACUGUUCCUGCACCAAGUCAAGCUAGUUCAAAUGUACCUCCUGGUAUACCUUCUGCUCCUGUAAUUUUGGGUCCAUCACAGAACAUAGCACAAGCUUCAGCUGUGCAAAAUGGGAAUUUGGUUCAAAGUGUUAGUCAGCCUCCCUUGAUAACAACUAGUAUAAGUAUGCCAGUGGCACAGAAUGUGCCACAACAGAUACCGCUCAGCACUACCCAGUUCUCUGCACAAUCACUAACUCAGUCAGUUGUGAGCCAAAUCGAAGAUGGGAGGCGCCCUACAGAUCCUUCCUUAGUUGGUUUACCUCAAGCUGCCAGUGGUGAAGGUGGUGGUGGAGCGUCGGCUGUUUCAGAUGGGAGCGGCAGCAACAUAACAUCCUCUGCUUCCCUUUUUCCACUGAAGGUACUGCCAUUGACAACUCAUCUUGUUGAUGGUGAGGAUGAGAGAAAUGACUUCUUCAGAGGCAGCAGGCGAACAUUUUUCAAGGACAUUUCUGGCACCCCUUCCCCUAGAGACUGAAAGCAUCCUUCAUGGCAGUUGCUUUUAAUUCAAUGUGGAACACACCCCUCACCCUCCAAGACUGUGGAACAGACUGUUCAAAGUAUUUCCCUGCUGAACUGACCACUUGAAAAAAAAACAUUGAGGGAUUCUUGAUCCUAACAGCUGGUCUUACAGUAAGUCACUUUUUGGAACUAUGGGAACUACAAUGUUGACCAUCUGAUAUAAAGCAUUAAAGGAAGCUCAGAGGCUUGACUCAAAUGAAGGAGAGGGUCCUGUGAGACACAUAAAACCAUCUGAAAUAUGGUUAAUCAGACUUUGAAACCCACAUCAUUAAGAGGGAUACAGAAUGACUGAGUCUAACAUUGCACACUGGUAUGUCUGUGAAGAGGCAUUACCAAAGUUAAUUAUGUCUAGUGCAAAUGCUGGGAGGUCUGACUGAGCAAAGCAGCUGACCCCCAAAGCAAAGGGAAGAAACCAACAAGAAAGCUGAUUGAAGAAAGGAAGAAGACAGAAUCCAAGAAAUAUCAGUGAGUCAGUUUCAGGCAGAAGCUCCCAAGUUGCAGAGUCAAAAUGAGAUUUCCUUUGGGGAAGGAUCAGCUUCCAGGAUUUGCUCCUCCCUUAUUCCCUGGAUAGACACUGAAUUCUUGAACCCUCCAUCAGUGUUGCAGAACAUGCAGGAUCCUUAGAUCCAGAAUAUUGGCUGUCUUCGGGGUGGAAGCCCAGACAGAUUUCAGCUCCUAGGAAAUAAAUGUUCAUUCAGGAGACAUUCUGGUCUCCUGUAGUUCUUCACUGAAGUGUUAUGCAGAAUGUUUGUUUGAUCUGGCCCCUCUUACCUUGCUGCCCCUUGGUUCAAGUAAAUACACUGAUAAAGCUUGCAAGUCUACGGUGAGCAGAUCUUCAAAUCUCAAAUUAAGUGACGUUGGGCCUCCACAUCCUCUGCAUAGGAGACCUCAGAGGAAUCUGAAACCUGCUUCUCUUGUGCUCCAGACACCGCUGCUCUUAUAAGACCAACCCCCCUUCUUGCACUUCUGGUUCAAUUUCUGUAACUAUAAAGUAUAUCUGUAAAGAGAACUUAUGAAAAAUAAUGGAUUUAUGUAAUCAGUUUCUUCUUCCCUGGGUUUUUAGGAAAGAAUUGAGCCCAAACUGUCAAAAUACCAAGAUGUACAGUAUUACAUGUUUGAAACUUCUACAAAUUGAAGCAAAUUGUUAACUUAAAUUUAAGUGUUUUGGAGGGCUCAGGAGAGAUGUGGAGAUAGAAUUCAGCGUGGCUUGUCACCCUUUUAAGGUUUUUUGGGGGAAAGCCUAUUCUAUACAUCAGUAUGUAGCAGUUCUUUAUAAGAUAACUUCUGUAUCCAAAUUCAGUUCAGUGUGGUGCGAGAUCAGCUGAGAAAUAAGUAAUAUGUCUGGCAUUACUUGAAGCAUAUUACUGAAUGUCAUAGGCAAACUUUCCAGUUUAGGAAAUGGGUGCUGAAGAACAAGGUUUAUUUUUUGAGCUUCAGAUUUCAAAAAACCCCCUUAAAAUAGUUUUGGAAGUUCCUGUAAGAGAUUAACAUUAGUCUUUACCAAUAGCGGAAGAGCAUCCUGUUUUUUUUUCUCUGCGAUCUACUUCUGGCAGUUGGAAUAAACUGAUCAGAUGCUUGUGCCUCCUUCCACCUAGUUUCUUAAAUCCGUUCACCAUGAAAUGUUUUUAACUAAUGCCUAGAUCUUUCAUUAAAUUAACCAGCAUACCUAAAUUGUCUAACAGUCUUAACACAGCCCCCAGGCUACAACUUCACGGCAGUUGUGAUUUCUUAUCAUGUUGGAAUACAUUUCAGUUGAAGUAUAUUGUCUAAAACUAAUUAUUUAGAUAGUGUUGCUUAAAUACAUACUUACGUAGUGAGCCAUUCACAUUGGAUUUACUUAAAUUAGGCCCUUUCAAAUUAAAAAAUCGUUCAUGUGGCUUUUCCUUUGCCAAGAAUAGCUAUCAAACUGCUUAUUGCUUACAUCCUGAUUUCUGCUGUAGUCAUAUAGUCUGUAAAAUACACAAUUUAUAAUUUUAUGUUUUUUAGAAAAUUGAUAAAAUGUUUGUUGGACUGCAGUAACUGAUUUAAAAUGAACUGAUUUACACUGAUUUCUUUAAUCCACAAACACAAUUGUGUGGUGAUGCCAUACAAAGUUCAGUGUGGUAAAUCAAAAGUGAAGAUGUAUUUAACUUUUUAAAGAAAGCUGUCUGUCUUUGAAGUCAGUAUCUCACUUAUGCAUAUUGAAUAAUUUUCAGAGUAGCAGCCAUGUUAGUCUGUAUUCGCAAAAAGAAAAGGAGGACUUGUGGCACCUUAGAGACUAACAAAUUUAUCUGAGCUUAAGAUUUCAUGAGCUACAGCUCACUUCAAUGGAUGCAACAUUUAUUUUGACUUUUUUUUUUUGCCUGCAGAGACUUAAAAUCCAAUUGUAGAGCUUCAGGACUAAACAUCUUUAAAUCCAAGAAAAAAAAAGGCAAAAUAUGUGAUCUUAAAACACUGCUGGUAUAAGUGCUGUCCUGGAUGAGGACCUAAGUAUCUGACUAAGUCCCAUUGAUUUAAAGAUAAGCACAUGCUUAAGUACCCUUCCUGAAUAGGCAUCCUCCUCUGAAUUGAGGUAUUAAAUAACUUUCUUUGGUGAAGGAUAAUCUAAAUUACUCUGCACACCUUGUGAGAAUUGUUUUAAUGAUAAAGUCUCUAAAGACAUAAUGUCAAGUUUUAAAAAAUAUUUUUAAGCUUUAAAAAAAUUAGUUGACUUUGUUACAACUCCUUGGAAACUUAAAAGUGUCCAUAUCAAAUUUAUUUCCAUUCAUGAAAGUAAAUGUUUUUGUUAACACUUUUAAAAAUAGUUUUUUGUUGGUAUUUUGAUACUUCUGCUCUGCACCAGCAUUGUGUAAUGUAAUCUUUGGUGCUCUGUGACCUGCAGCUUGACUGCUGGUGUUUUAUAGAAAGGUGUCUUUUGAUUAUGUAUUAUCAAAUAUUAAUAAAGGUAUUAAAACAA